Molecule: ribosomal RNA, 453 nt
Filed under: uncultured bacterium
Lineage: Bacteria
Description: bacterial SSU rRNA
Rfam family: Bacterial small subunit ribosomal RNA
Source: RNAcentral
AGAGUUUGAUCAUGGCUCAGAACGAACGCUGGCGGCAUGCCUAACACAUGCAAGUCGAACGAAGCCUUCGGGCUUAGUGGCGCACGGGUGCGUAACACGUGGGAAUCUGCCCUUCGGUUCGGAAUAACAGUUAGAAAUGACUGCUAAUACCGGAUGAUGACGUAAGUCCAAAGAUUUAUCGCCGAAGGAUGAGCCCGCGUAGGAUUAGGUAGUUGGUAGGGUAAUGGCCUACCAAGCCGACGAUCCUUAGCUGGUCUGAGAGGAUGAUCAGCCACACUGGGACUGAGACACGGCCCAGACUCCUACGGGAGGCAGCAGUGGGGAAUAUUGGACAAUGGGCGAAAGCCUGAUCCAGCAAUGCCGCGUGAGUGAUGAAGGCCUUAGGGUUGUAAAGCUCUUUUACCAGGGAUGAUAAUGACAGUACCUGGAGAAUAAGCUCCGGCUAACUCCGUG